This 786-nucleotide unclassified non-coding RNA is filed under the name Hevea brasiliensis (rubber tree). Lineage: Eukaryota; Viridiplantae; Streptophyta; Magnoliopsida; Malpighiales; Euphorbiaceae. The record is from RNAcentral.
CUCCUCGAGGACAGACUCUUGGAGAAUCAGUGAAACAGUAUGCUUUGAGCUGAAUUCUGUAGCAUUGAAUGGUGAUGGAUUCUACAUGAAGGGAUAUGCCUAUUGGGAAACCCAGUGUGAUGCAAUUUUGGCAUUUGAUGUUAAGUAUGAAACUUAUGGGAUGUUCAGUCUCCCGCCUUGCAGAGAACCAACUGGUGCUUUGACAGAGAUACGAGGGAAUUUGUUCUACCUUAUGCCCCGCAAACAAGAUGAAUGCUCAAUUGAAGUCUACGGGGAUAUCAGUAUGAGUCUGAAGCAUGUGAUUCCUCUUGAUCCUAAAGCUCUGGGGAACACGGAUGGGUUGUGCAGGGCUUUGUCUUUUGUGAAUGAUGACACAUUUAUCCUUGAUCUUGAGGGGAAGAUUAUUGCUUAUAAUGCAACAUCACAUAAGGUGGAAUGCCUGAGAAAUGCAAGGAAUUAUGAAGGAUUUGCAAAGUAUCUGCCAUAUGUGAACAGCCUUGUAACUGUUUCCCGCCCGGUGUUUAGCAAAUGGGAGGAUGGCAUCUAGCUGCAGCGUAUGUAGAAACUAUUUUCUAGCUUAACAUAUUUUGUCAGUUUACUCCCAAAACCCGUUGAGAGGAUUACUGACUUCCUAAUAUGAUGUUUUUGGUUGUUCAAAUUCAAAAUUCUAUGGAAGUUAACCUAAACGAACUUCCUUUUUGAGCUUGUAAUUUCUUUCAACACCGGUGGUUCUGAAUCAAUGAUCAAAUGAUAUGAACUGGUUUUUUUUUUUUUUUUUUUUUUUUU